Molecule: RNA transcript, 2839 nt
Organism: Athalia rosae (coleseed sawfly)
Lineage: Eukaryota; Metazoa; Arthropoda; Insecta; Hymenoptera; Athaliidae
Gene name: blood vessel epicardial substance-like
Exons: 9
Source: RefSeq, a predicted model, not a curated record
ACUCAGCAAUGGACGCAGUCGCGAGCUGCGGCGAAAUCGCAAUCGCUGCGGCGGAUCAGCAAGUAGAUCAAUUGAUAGAUCAUGCUUGCUGCGCCGACGACUAUUUCGAGCAUGGCUUGCAUUUUGGGAAAAGCUAAGAGUGGUAUUGCCUAUUGAUAACCGAUAAGAAACCAGGGGUUUUGAAAGGUUUGCGACGCCUGGCAUCGUUGGGUGCGACCGCGGCCUACCCAACCUCGAUAUUUGUGCCUGUGUACGUUAAGUUUUGUGUUCGCUAAUUGCUAUACAUAAGAAGUCAUAAUUAAUAAUCGGAGUAUAGGUCGCAAUUACCACUACAGAUGCGGUAUCGUUGUCAUUUCGCAGAAUUGUACGACUAGUGAUGAUAUCAUCUAAUCGCCGUUUUGUUCGCUUCGUGGGUGGAUUAUUCCAAACUUGGUUCACGUAACGUAACGUCGUUUAUUGAUUCCGACAUCGCGCCUGCUCGUGAUAUUAGGUCGCGUCACUCGUUGUUAUAGUUUUCAAACCUGAUUCGGUGAUCCGAUACAAAAUCCUCGGUGUCAUCGUCAUCAGAAAAAAACCGCGGGCUAUCCCGGUUAAACACUGGGAAUACACCACAGCAUACACAUAACUAUAUAUGCCCCGGAUACCGACGAAGUUCAACAACGGGGGCUGCGCCCGAGUUUUCGGCAGGUGGAUUUCAGCAGGGGUGAUGCGGGGAUGUGGAUGAGGAUCGUCCCACAAGGUGGCCGGGAUGGCUGGGGUCACUAUAGCGCCUACGCCAGGGUCUUGUUUCUAGUACUCUUUCUGUGUCUCUUGGUGGUUGAAGCAGGUGCCAACUAUACAGACCCUGGUGGGGCAUCUAGUGUUGUUUCUGACAGCAGCAUUGCGCCCCGGUCUUCCCAGCCUACAGAUCUUUCCGCACCCGUCGGGUCUAGAAAUGACGAGUGCCGCAAUACCACUGUCAAACCUGUUACAGGUGAUGGCGGUUUAUCAGGGAUCAACCACGGAUCUUACCCAUACCCACCUGUGAUAUCAUCGACAUUUUUGAGUGGUGCUUUUACUUGUCAACCCUAUCACGGGGUCUAUGUUAAUCACAUCUACUUCCAAUUAGCCAAUGCAUUCUUCCUUCUCUCCCACCUUGCCCCUAGUGGCAUACACGGCGUUUUAUAUCUCCGAUGUACUCUACUUGUUGGUUGCGCCUUCCUCGCCCUUUGGGGAUGGGCUAUUGCCUGCUGGCUUGAUGCAGCUUUGUGGAAUGCGAUAUUCGUUGCAAUAAAUUUUGUUCACGUCUGUAUGCUCCUCUACAGACUUCGACCAGUCAAGUUCUCCAGAGAAGUUGAAGAGGUAUUUGUCGCAGUGUUCCAACCCCUGCGAGUGUCACGCCACCAAUUUAAAAAAGUUUUGAACUGUAUGAAAGGAAUCCGUCAACUCAAGUACCAAGAAGUUUAUGCACAGGAAAAAGUCACAAAAGUCGACUCACUUUCAUUGGUACUUUCUGGAAAGUUGGUGGUCUCGCAGAAUGGGAGAGCAUUACAUAUCGUAUUUCCGCAUCAAUUUCUUGAUUCUCCAGAAUGGUUUGGCGUAUCCACGGAUGAAUAUUUCCAAGUAUCUAUAACAGCAAUGGAGGAGUCCAGAAUACUACUCUGGCACAGAGACAAGCUCAAAUUGAGUAUCAUCACGGAUCAAUUUCUGCAAGCAGUAUUCGACCAUAUUCUUGGAAGGGACGUUGUUAAAAAGUUGAUGCAGGUGAGUGAGACAAUGGCGGCGAGUGGCCUCCAUCAGCAUCAAAAUGGGCAGGUUGUAGGCUUGGCUAGUGUCCCAGGUGUUGGGACAGGUUCUACCAAUGUUGAUAACAGCGAUUUGGAUACUAAGCUACAGCUGGUGGUAAAGAACAGUGGCGGCAAUGGUCAAGGUAUCACCGCACUCAUCAACCGGCAGCUACAAGAAGAGCGAGUGCCGCUGCUGUAUACGAGCCCCGACGUGCUGAACAACGCCCUUCAUCAUCCUAGGCACCUUCAUGCUCCGUACGUCCUCCCGUUGUGCCCGAUUCGCAAUAAUAAUCCCCAAGCAGAAUCCCCAACACACACGUGUGGCACGUAACCUUGCCUCGCCUCGCCUCGCCUCACCAUGCCACGCCACGCCAUGCCUUACGGUUCUUAUUUUUCCCCUCGGUUCUUAAACCAGGUUUGUCACGGAUCAAAUACUAUUACUGUGCAGCUGCAGGGGACCCCAAUGCUUGGCGAUUAGGAAGGAUCGAAGAAGCUGACCAUGAGACACCUGUCUAACACAUGAAGGGAGGGCACCCACCCACCAAAUGCUUGAUGGACAAUCGAUCACUAUACUUCUUGAUUCGCGAUAGAACUAGAGUGUUGUGCAGUUUUUGAGAGAUUGAAGUUUACUCAUUGAAACGUGGGUGUGAGGGGGUAAUCGAGUGAGUGCAUAAAUUAAUCACGAAUUUGAAUGGUUUUUUUUGUGAUCUUAUGUUAUUGUGUUAUUACAGUGCGGUGUUAUUACGUCAUCUAACUAUUGACAGUUGAAACCGAUUGAUGGAACGUUGAAUAUACACUACACGUUAGCACAGGUUUUUCCACCUACUUGAAUCAUGUACUGUAAAUUGCGAUACCUGUCUAUCUGUGAAUGUGUGUGCGUAGAGUGUGCGUCUACUCGAUGCUUCCAUUUAUCAUUCGGUGUACACCAUAGUAUUUAUAAUUGUACAGUGUGGUAAGUCGUGUGAGGGAGAUUAAUAUGAAUACUCAAUGGAGCUUACAUUGUAUUGAUAUUUUAUUGAUUCUAUCAAAAGAGAAAAUCUGUACAAAUGAAUGCAUCCAAUUGUUAUACUAAA